This 533-nucleotide long non-coding RNA is filed under the name Vigna radiata. Its description in RNAcentral is "long non-coding RNA (VRAD_LNC016257)". The record is from RNAcentral. Lineage: Eukaryota; Viridiplantae; Streptophyta; Magnoliopsida; Fabales; Fabaceae.
UUCUUUACCUUGAGUUGGGAUGAGCUUAAUUGUAUGUGAUGAAAAGGUUCAAGUUUGGGGUUGCAUUGGGGAAAUUGAAAGGCAAAUGAAAAGCAUUGAGCUCAAAUGUUGUGAAAAGAAAAAUUCACGAGAAAAAGAAAAGAAAAGAAGAAAAGCAUGAAGAUGAACUCAAUGAAAAAGAAAAGGGGAAAAAGUUGGGAAUNAGUGAGAUUGGUGAGGAAGAGAGUUGUGCUUAAAUGAUGAAUAUUAUUAUAGCUCUCUUGAUUCAAGGACUUUGCAUUCCAGAAAAACCAAGUCUUCUUGUUAGCCCAACCUCAUUACAAGGCUUGGAAAAGUCCUUUUGAUGGCAUUUGCAUGUAAGGAUUUUGAUUGUUUGAGAUGAAUGGCAAUUUUGUUUCAUGUGACUUGUGAAUAAUAGAAAGUUGGAGUGUCACCUUAAACACUUGAGUGAUUGAGUGAAACACUUGCUUGGUAUGAACUGUUACUUUUCAUGAGUGCAUUUUUGCUUAGUGGAUUGGUCAUUCAUAAUGUGU